This 496-nucleotide ribosomal RNA is filed under the name uncultured bacterium. RNAcentral's name for it is "partial 16S ribosomal RNA". It matches the Rfam family "Bacterial small subunit ribosomal RNA", at positions 29 to 507 of the family's 1533-position model. The record is from RNAcentral.
AUGCACGCUGGCGGCGUGCCUAAUACAUGCAAGUCGCGCGCACGGACGAGAAGCUUGCUUCUCUGAUGUUAGCGGCGGACGGGUGAGUAACACGUGGAUAACCUACCUAUAAGACUGGGAUAACUUCGGGAAACCGGAGCUAAUACCGGAUAAUAUUUUGAACCGCAUGGUUCAAAAGUGAAAGACGGUCUUGCUGUCACUUAUAGAUGGAUCCGCGCUGCAUUAGCUAGUUGGUAAGGUAACGGCUUACCAAGGCAACGAUGCAUAGCCGACCUGAGAGGGUGAUCGGCCACACUGGAACUGAGACACGGUCCAGACUCCUACGGGAGGCAGCAGUAGGGAAUCUUCCGCAAUGGGCGAAAGCCUGACGGAGCAACGCCGCGUGAGUGAUGAAGGUCUUCGGAUCGUAAAACUCUGUUAUUAGGGAAGAACAUAUGUGUAAGUAACUGUGCACAUCUUGACGGUACCUAAUCAGAAAGCCACGGCUAACUACGUG